UACGAAGGGGGCUAGCGUUGCUCGGAAUCACUGGGCGUAAAGCGCACGUAGGCGGCUUUUUAAGUCAGGGGUGAAAUCCUGGAGCUCAACUCCAGAACUGCCUUUGAUACUGAGAAGCUUGAGUCCGGGAGAGGUGAGUGGAACUGCGAGUGUAGAGGUGAAAUUCGUAGAUAUUCGCAAGAACACCAGUGGCGAAGGCGGCUCCCUGGCCCGGUACUGACGCUGAGGUGCGAAAGCGUGGGGAGCAAACAGG
This 253-nucleotide ribosomal RNA is filed under the name uncultured bacterium. Its description in RNAcentral is "partial 16S ribosomal RNA". It matches the Rfam family "Bacterial small subunit ribosomal RNA", at positions 524 to 776 of the family's 1533-position model. The record is from RNAcentral.